AACGAGGCCACUCCCGCUCGGCACCCUCGGUCCUUUAUUGUUGACUCGAAGCUCCCAAAAUGGCGGACGCUCCUUCCUCCUCGGAAACCUCCGCCCGCCCCCACCCAGCCCUCUCGCUACGGCCUCCUCUCGCCCCCGCCCCCGCCCCGCUCCGAGGGGCGCGCAGGCCAGCCGCCCGAGCCGCCGGCUCCCCCGGCUGUCCAGCCCUACCUCCUCCGCUGCCCGCUCUCGUGGCGCCGCCGAAGUCGCCGCCUGGCUGAGCUAACUCGGCUCCUCUGCCCCCUCCCUCGCUCGCCCGUUCGCCCGCCCGCCGCCUCCUCCCUCUUUCCCUGCCUCUCCGCAUGGCGGCGACCGCGGCUCCUCCUCCACUCAAGAUGGCGAAACCUCGGCCGCCGCGGCUAUAUUCGCCGCGGCGUCACUGCCUUCCUGGCCUGGUGGUGAGAGGAAGUCGGGCCGCGAAAGCUUCCUGAGGAGAAAAUGGAGGGCCCUUCUCUCACACCGACGAGAAAAGUUCGAGGGGGAAAUACGAGUUCCUUUCUGAAGGGACAGGACGGCUGCUUUUCCACAGCCGCGACGUGAUUGAGAAAUGGUGGCUGGCAAGGGUAGGCCUGCCUUCGCCCCUCCAAAGUAAAAAUCGGGAGUUGAGACCAGAGGAACAUCUCUUUAUUACAUGACUAAGGAUAUGUUUUGAAAACUGGCCCCCGGGCAGCUGCUCGGGGACAGGAAGCUGACCUGACUUCUCCAGCUGGCCGGGGAGGCUGAUGCCGGGCCUAAGGGGCCGCGUCCGAGCCUCUCGGGGCGCGCCUCCAUGCAGGAAGGCGCGGAACUAGCGACCCGGAGACGCCGGGCGCGCGUCUGAGUGUGGGGGCAGGAAGGGGGGCCGACCGGGCCCGGAGGCCGCACCAGGCAGGAGGGAGGACUCCAGAGAGUGCGCGGGGGGCGCUGCGCGGUGGGACGGGGCGAGCCUGUAGGGCGCGCCUGGCGGCGGCAUGGCGUCUCCAGCCCAGGUUUUAAAAUACCUUCUAAUGUAAGGAAAUAGCCCUGCACCUUGUGCCCAUCCUAGAGAGAAAAUGGUUUCUUAAUAAAAAAUGUAUGAGGCCUUUUUUGCCCCAAUAUCUUCCCAAGCAGAGGAAUGUGAAGGGGGGUUGGGCCAAGAAGUGAGUGGUAGGAAGAGAGGCCUACGGAUUUAAAACAGGCCACUGCUUGGAGGGGUGUCUUUCCUAAACCACUGAAGAAAUUGAACCAGGCAAAGGAAGGGGGUUCACACCCACAAAUAAACUAUAACCUACAAAAGGAGCCCGGGUUCACAUCCACAAAUAAAUUGUAACCUACACAAGGAGUCUGGUUGAGGUCACAAAACAAAAGCCAGGAGGCAACCAAAAGUAGAAUAUGAAAUAGGUGCUGCCUUCUCACCUAGGAAUCCUUCCAGGGCUAAAACCUUCAAAUAUUCUGCUUUUAAGGUAGUCAGAUACCCUCACAACUCAUUUACAUCAGCCCUUCUCUGUUUUCAAGUGAGAAGCAUAGAUGGUUUAGAAUUAAGCUAUGAACUCUUGGAUCUUUUCUUCCAAGUUUAGUGUUAGUGGUAGAUAGGUCUAGUCCAACUAUCUCAAUACAUUGUUUUCUCCCUAGUUAAAACAGAUUUGCAAGAAUCAUUUGUAUGACACUUUAGGAAUACAGAUAAAUUGCUAGUGCAAAUAAUAUCCUUAUAUUUAUAAAAUAUAUGUGUACUUUUAAAAAAGUUAUAUGAAUCCAAUCCUCUGGCCUUUUAGUUAGUAUUGAGUGUGAUAGUUGUGGGAGAUCUGUAGUAAAUACGGUUUCUGAAGGGUGUGCUAUCAUCCCUAAUGAACUCACCUAUUAAUUGUGGUAAAGAGUUUUUCACUUGGGCUGGGCACGGUGGCUCACGCCUGUAAUCCCAGCACUUUGGGAGGCCGAGGCAGGUGGGUCGACUGAGGUCAGGAGUUCCAGACCAGCCUAGCCAACAUGGUGAAACCCCGUCUGUACUAAAAAAAAAAAAAAGAAAAAAAAUAGCUGGGCAUGGUGGCAGGUGCCUGUAAUCCCAGCUACUUGGGAGGCUGAGGCAGGAGAAUCCCUUGAACCUGGGGAGGCGGAGGUUGCAGUGAGCCAAGAUCGUGCCAUUGCACUCCAGCCUGGGCAACAAGAGCAAAACUCCGUCUCAAAAAAAAAAAAAAAAAGAAAAAGAAAAAGAAAUGAAAAAAAAAGUUUCCCAACAUGUAUUAGCCGUUUUCAUGUUGUCUGUAUUCACCUUUGCGUCAUCACCCCUCUUCAAUUUCCUCCUGGAAUUCAAUCACAGUAAUGGGUUAUCUCAGCAUAUAUUAUUCGCCAGUCUCACAUCCUGACCUCAUUUAUUUACCUAAAAAUAACCAGAACGAAAAAAAAAUCACAGAUUAAUUUACACUUGAUUUCACUUUAACUUCAAUUUAAAAUACUUAGAAUCCAGAAUUCCUAGUAAGUUGAACCUGGAAUACGCAGACCUGUGAUAAUAUCUUAAACACUCAAAUGUUUUCAACUUGCUGAAAUGGAGUUCACACUUUUAACAUUCUGGGCUUUUUUUUUAAAAGGGACUAUAAUACUUUAAC
Molecule: long non-coding RNA, 2597 nt
Filed under: Homo sapiens (human)
Lineage: Eukaryota; Metazoa; Chordata; Mammalia; Primates; Hominidae
Description: HSALNT0181940
Source: RNAcentral